AGGAGACUAUGGAGGACUCACGGAGCUCUGACACCCCUCACCUGGAGGAGGUGGCUUCCCCCCACCCCCCACUCUGCCUGCACCACCUUUGCCUGGGGCGGCCAAUGCAUGGCAGUGGAGUCAGUAAUCGCCCUUGCUCCUCCCCAGGGUCAAACCCACUGGGGUCUGGGGAUUGAAAUUCUGAGAGGAGUGUAGGAGGAGAGUGUCUUCCCGAAGAAAAUGUAGGAAUGCAUUGGCUUCUAUCACAAAAAUCCUGGGAAUGUUCCUGAGAAGGGAUUUUGGAGAUGCUCGGCCUAGGACUGGCCCUCGGGAAGAUGACCCGACCUUUGUCCUGUGCAGCUGAGUGCUGAACACUGGUCAGCUCUGGAUAAAGCCUGAUGUCACCGAGCUGAUGGCGGGGCGUCUGCACUGAACACCUUCCAGCUUGGUGGGGGCACGGGAACCAGCUGUCCUCAUUAAAAGUGACCUGGAGUGAGAUGGAUUCUUCUGCCUAUACCUCCACGUGUGGGCUCCCUGAACACCCCCAUCGCCAUGGGCUCCCAAGAAGUAUUGCUUCUGGCUGCAGGGCUCACUGCAAUGCUGCGACAGGAGGUGACAGGCCAAGGCCAGCAGGUGACUGCUCUCCCCAGAGGCCCUGUCAGCUGGAAGCAGCUGGUUUCACAUAACAGAGACCCCAGGCCCAGGUCCCCUGGAUGCAGGAGGAUUUGCGGCUGCCCUUUUGGAAGAGGUAGGCUGACCAUGAGAACUGGCCAAAGGUGAGAAGGACGUGGAGAAGGUGUUGGAGGAGGGAAGUCAGACAUACUAGCAAUAGCCUGGCCUGCAGGGCUGUAGCUUUCACCUGUACUUCCUCCUGUUUGGUGUCAUCAUCACAAUCACGAUGGUGAUAAAAUGUCUUCUUUCCUCUAGGCAGGUGGUAAAGGUACUAUUUGGUGCACAGGUUGGAGAGUGCUGUGAUAAGAACCAUCAGAACAAGGGCAGGAAUGUGACCUCCCAGGUGAUCCUGGGAGGAUCCAGUGGAGCGUUUCAGAAUUCUGUGUCAAAAAAGAAGGCUGCGUGUUGACUGGGGUGGGGCUGUGCCUGUGUUUGGGGCCGCCCAUGGGUGUAGCAAACCCUUUUUUUUUUUUUGUAUUUGUCCUGCCUCCUCUCCUUCAGGGUCUGCUCCUUCCUCCUCGCGGCUCUGGGGGCUGCAUCUCGGAAUCCUGCCGGCCACUCCUCCGCUGCAGGGGUGGACAUGGGAACCAAGUGGGGCCUUUGGGAUGUCUUCAGCCCUCCCACAGCCACUGGCCAGCCUGCCUGCUGUCUUCCUGCCCCCCUCGCUCACUCCUCCUUCUCCUGGGCUGAACCACACCCAAAAGCUUGAUCCAGGACUGGGCUAGGUGACCGGUGCAAUCCUUAGAUGCCUCUCUUGGUUCCCACUGCCCUGCUGGUCUUGAGGCAGGUUGAGGGGGGAGUCACAGGCCAUCCCUGCAAGGAAAAGCAGAGAGGGCAAUUUGGGAAGGUGACAGAGGACCCUGUGGGACGUCGAGUCACAGCCUUGCUGGGCACAGUGACUGGCGUGCAUAGUGAGCUGCUUUCCCAAGCACUGCCACCCCUGGCUCUCAGAUAUGCUGCUGAAAGGGGUGACGGGCAGUGGGGGGCUUGGGACUCCGCCGAGGUGUCCUAGCUCCCAUCCCUAUCCCCAGGCCCAGGCCCAGGCCCCUCCAGCAUGAAAGGCUAGGGACCGCACUGCCAUGGGGUUUGCCAGGCCCCUGUCUCUUGGGAAGCCACCCCUCCCAGGGAAAAGCAGGGCUGAGGGCUGUUCAGGCUCUGCCACCACCUGCUCUGUGACUUCGGGCAGGCCACCAAUUCUUCUGAAAAACGGGAGUCACUGUGGGCACCAUCACGCCCGGGUACAGGACGCCCAGUGGCUCAGCUGCCCCAGCCAGGCUGCCCUGUCCUGGCCUCAGCACACCUCCCACAGCCACUGCAGGCAGCCCUGGACCUUCUCCUGCUGAGGCCUUACUGCCAAUCCCUCUGGGAGACCAGACACAACAGGCAGCGGUCUGGGUGACUCCCAGGAACCUGUCCUCCCUAGUGGCUGAGGCAGUAGGCUUGGCAGCAGGGACUCAGUGCCCUAGGAGGCAGGGCUCAUCCCACAAGUUGCCAUGGUAGCCCCUCCUCCUGCCCCUUACUCAUCAGCCAGGCUGUACCGACACGGGCUGCCCAGGCAGGGGGUGGCUCGCUGGACAAAGCUGGCCGUGCAGGCGCUCAGGCGUGCAGGGUAGCCAGUGCCCCGGCCAGGAAUGGACAGCCUCCAGGACACAGUGGCCCUGGACCAUGGGGGCUGCUGCCCUGCCCUCAGCAGGCUGGUUCCCAGAGGCUUUGGGACUGAGAUGUGGACUCUCUUUGCCCUUUCUGGACCCCUGGUAAGGAGGAGGAGCUGGGGGGCAGGUAGGGAGUGGAGGAAGCUGAGAGGCUGAGGGUGUCUGCCUUGCAGGCAGGAUCCAGAAAUGUGCUCACAUUUUCCCCAGAAACUGCCCAUGUUGACUGCCAGGUCCAGAGUCUGGGGACAGCAGGAUGGCUCCUGAAAGCUGUCUCUGGACAAUCCCCAGUGGCAGUGGGGCCUGACUUUGCUCAGCAGCAGGCAGCCCCCACACAGAAGGGGUGGGUGUGCCUCAGCUGGAAACCCACAAAAGCCUGAGUUGGAAGAUGGCUCCAGGACAAAUGGGACCCAGAGAUGCAUGAAGCCUGCAGCACCUUCGCAGGGGGAAGAAGGGGCCGGCUACCCAUUUCAUUUCCAAAGGGGAAAUUGUUUUAAAUACAUUUAUUUUUUCUGAUCAUGAAGAGGAAUAGGCUGGGCGUGCUGCCUCACGCCUGUUAUCUCAGCACUUUGGGAGGCCGAGCAGGGAGGAUCACCUGAGGUCAGGAGUUGGAGACCAGCCCGGCCAACAUGGAGAACCCCCCGACUCUACUAAAAAUACAAAAAUUAACCAGGCAUGGUGGCGGGCGCCUGUAAUUCCAGCUACUUGGGAGAGAGAGGCAGAGAAUCGCUUGAACCCGGGACGGGUAGGUUGCAGUGAGCCGAGAUCGCGCCACUGCACUCCAGCCUGGGCAACAAGGGCGAAACUCCGUCUC
Molecule: long non-coding RNA, 3114 nt
Filed under: Homo sapiens (human)
Lineage: Eukaryota; Metazoa; Chordata; Mammalia; Primates; Hominidae
Description: non-protein coding lnc-SLC47A2-1:3
Source: RNAcentral